Molecule: ribosomal RNA, 461 nt
Filed under: uncultured bacterium
Lineage: Bacteria
Description: bacterial SSU rRNA
Rfam family: Bacterial small subunit ribosomal RNA
Source: RNAcentral
GGGCCCGCACAAGCAGUGGAUUAUGUGGUUUAAUUCGAAGCAACGCGAAGAACCUUACCAGGGUUUGACAUCCUACUAACGAAGCGGAAACGCAUUAGGUGCCCUUCGGGGAAAGUAGAGACAGGUGGUGCAUGGUUGUCGUCAGCUCGUGUCGUGAGAUGUUGGGUUAAGUCCCGCAACGAGCGCAACCCUUAUUGUUAGUUGCUACGCAAGAGCACUCUAGCGAGACUGCCGUUGACAAAACGGAGGAAGGUGGGGACGACGUCAAAUCAUCAUGCCCCUUAUGUCCUGGGCUACACACGUAAUACAAUGGCGCACACAGAGGGAAGCAAGACCGCGAGGUGGAGCAAAUCCCUAAAAGGCGUCUCAGUUCAGAUUGCAGUCUGAAACCCGACUGCAUGAAGUCGGAAUUGCUAGUAAUCGCGGAUCAGCAUGCCGCGGUGAAUACGUUCCCGGGCCUU